AACGAACGCUGGCGGCAUGCCUUACACAUGCAAGUCGAACGACACCUUCGGGUCUAGUGUCGCACGGGUUCGUAACGCGUUGGAACCUGCCCUUAGGUUCGGCCUAACUCCCCGAAAGGGGUGCUAAUACCGGAUUUUGUCUUCGGUCCAAAGGUUUAUUGCCUUUGGAUGGGCCCGCGUUGUAUUAGCUUGUUGGUAGGGUAAAAGCCUACCAAUGCUACGAUCCAUAGCUGGUCUGAGAGGAUGAUCAGCGACACUGGGACUGAGACACGGCCCAGAAUCCUACGGGAGGCAGGAGAGGGGAAUAUUGGAAAAUGGGGGAAAGCAAGAACGAGCAAUGCCGGGUGAGUGAUGAAGGUCUGAGGGUUGUAAAGCUCGUUAACACGGGAUGAGAAUGACAGUACCGGGAGAAUAAGCUCCGGCUAACUCCGUG
Molecule: ribosomal RNA, 433 nt
Filed under: uncultured bacterium
Lineage: Bacteria
Description: partial 16S ribosomal RNA
Rfam family: Bacterial small subunit ribosomal RNA
Source: RNAcentral